RNAcentral lists this ribosomal RNA (373 nucleotides) under uncultured organism. RNAcentral's name for it is "partial 16S ribosomal RNA". It matches the Rfam family "Bacterial small subunit ribosomal RNA", at positions 528 to 896 of the family's 1533-position model. The record is from RNAcentral.
GUAGGUGCAAGCGUUGUCCGGAAUUAUUGGGCGUAAAGCGCGCGCAGGCGGUUCUUUAAGCCUGAUGUGAAAGCCCACGGCUCAACCGUGGAGGGUCAUUGGAAACUGGAGAACUUGAGUACAGAAGAGGAAAGCGGAAUUCCACGUGUAGCGGUGAAAUGCGUAGAGAUGUGGAGGAACACCAGUGGCGAAGGCGGCUUUUCUGGUCUGUAACUGACGCUGAGGCGCGAAAGCGCGGGGAGCAAACAGGGAUUAGAUACCCUGGUAGUCCACGCCGUAAACGAUGAGUGCUAAGUGUUAGGGGGUUUCCGCCCCCUUAGUGCUGCAGCUAACGCAUUAAGCACUCCGCCUGGGGAGUAAGGCCGCAAGGCUG